RNAcentral lists this ribosomal RNA (375 nucleotides) under uncultured organism. Its description in RNAcentral is "partial 16S ribosomal RNA". It matches the Rfam family "Bacterial small subunit ribosomal RNA", at positions 526 to 896 of the family's 1533-position model. The record is from RNAcentral.
GUAGGUGGGCAAGCGUUUGUCCGGAAUUAUUGGGCGUAAAGCGCGCGCAGGCGGUUCCUUAAGUCUGAUGUGAAAGCCCACGGCUCAACCGUGGAGGGUCAUUGGAAACUGGAGAACUUGAGUACAGAAGAGGAAAGCGGAAUUCCACGUGUAGCGGUGAAAUGCGUAGAGAUGUGGAGGAACACCAGUGGCGAAGGCGGCUUUCUGGUCUGUAACUGACGCUGAGGCGCGAAAGCGUGGGGAGCAAACAGGGAUUAGAUACCCUGGUAGUCCACGCCGUAAACGAUGAGUGCUAAGUGUUAGGGGGUUUCCGCCCCGUUAGUGCUGCAGCUAAACGCAUUAAGCACUCCGCCUGGGGAUACGGCCGCAAGGCUG